GAUAUAUGGAGGAAUACCAGUGGCGAAGGCGGCCUCCUGGCUCGAUACUGACGCUGAGGUGCGAAAGCGUGGGGAUCAAACAGGAUUAGAUACCCUGGUAGUCCACGCCGUAAACGAUGUCUACUAGCCGUUGGGAGACUUGAUUUCUUAGUGGCGCAGCUAACGCAAUAAGUAGACCGCCUGGGGAGUACGGCCGCAAGGUUAAAACUCAAAUGAAUUGACGGGGGCCCGCACAAGCGGUGGAGCAUGUGGUUUAAUUCGAUGCAACGCGAAGAACCUUACCAGGUCUUGACAUCCUGCGAAUUUUCUAGAGAUAGAUUAGUGCCUUCGGGAACGCAGUGACAGGUGCUGCAUGGCUGUCGUCAGCUCGUGUCGUGAGAUGUUGGGUUAAGUCCCGUAACGAGCGCAACCCUUGUCCUUAGUUGCCAGCACAUAAUGGUGGGAACUCUAAGGAGACUGCCGGUGACAAACCGGAGGAAGGUGGGGACGACGUCAAGUCAUCAUGGCCCUUACGACCUGGGCUACACACGUGCUACAAUGGAACGCACAGAGGGCUGCAAAGGCGCGAGCUGGAGCGAAUCCCACAAAACGUUUCGUAGUCCGGAUUGGAGUCUGCAACUCGACUCCAUGAAGUCGGAAUCGCUAGUAAUCGUGAAUCAGAAUGUCACGGUGAAUACGUUCCCGGGCCUUGUACACACCGCCCGUCACACCAUGGGAGUGGGUUGCAAAAGAAGUGGGUAGACUAACCUUCGGGAGGUCGCUCACCACUUUGUGAUUCAUGACUGGGGUGAAGUCGUAACAAGGUAACCGUA
Molecule: ribosomal RNA, 812 nt
Filed under: uncultured bacterium
Lineage: Bacteria
Description: bacterial SSU rRNA
Rfam family: Bacterial small subunit ribosomal RNA
Source: RNAcentral